This is a non-coding RNA of Schizosaccharomyces pombe (fission yeast), 206 nucleotides long. The record is from the annotation of a GenBank genome assembly. NCBI's taxonomy places the organism in Eukaryota, Fungi, Ascomycota, Schizosaccharomycetes, Schizosaccharomycetales, Schizosaccharomycetaceae.
GCAACCCACAAAGGACUGUCAUGAAGGACUGUGCUAAGCUAAGUAAUGCAGGAGAAGAAAACCUUUCACCAUCGUAAGGUCUUGUUAUAAUUUUCUCCUGCAUAACUGCCCAAGAAAGAAAUGAACCAUAAAUCCCAAUCAUGCAAACAAAUAAUUGUCGCAUAAAGCCAGCCAUUCUAAAGAAAUUGAUGAACCAAAGGUAAAAG